GCCCUACGGGACGCAGCAGUGGGGAAUAUUGCGCAAUGGGGGGAACCCUGACGCAGCCAUGCCGCGUGAAUGAAGAAGGCCUUCGGGUUGUAAAGUUCUUUCGGUGAUGAGGAAGGUGAUAAGGUUAAUACCCUUAUUAAUUGACGUUAGUCACAGAAGAAGCACCGGCUAACUCCGUGCCAGCAGCCGCGGUAAUACGGAGGGUGCGAGCGUUAAUCGGAAUAACUGGGCGUA
RNAcentral lists this ribosomal RNA (234 nucleotides) under uncultured bacterium. Its description in RNAcentral is "partial 16S ribosomal RNA". It matches the Rfam family "Bacterial small subunit ribosomal RNA", at positions 335 to 562 of the family's 1533-position model. The record is from RNAcentral.